Molecule: long non-coding RNA, 341 nt
Filed under: Phoenix dactylifera (date palm)
Lineage: Eukaryota; Viridiplantae; Streptophyta; Magnoliopsida; Arecales; Arecaceae
Description: long non-coding RNA (PDAC_LNC011501)
Source: RNAcentral
UGGUGAUUGGUUCUUUUGAUUUUGACUCUUCCAUUUGGCAUUAUCCUCUUGGUUGAGAUGAUUGCUGAUGUGGUGUUGAGGUGGCGUCUGGUUGAGAUGAUUGCUGAUGUGGUGUUGAGGUGGCGUCCCAAUAGGUGUCACAUAGCAUGUUGCAUAGUGAUUGGUUCUUCUGAUGAGGUGGCAUGACGUUGCAUUGGUUCCUUUAUUGAGAUGAUGUGGUCGGCUCCUUAUGCUUAACUUCAUCCUGGUUGGCGUGCUUCCAUUGGUUGGAGUGGUGGUGAGGUGGCCAGCUGAUGUUGAUGUGGAUGCCGAGGUGGUGCUCAAAGGGUGUGCAAAGUUGG